CUGAGGAGAGAACAGUACAAUCCCAGCAGUGGGUGGGGUAGUCCGCACCCACCAAUGAAAGCUUCACAGGAGACAACACAGGGAACACACCCUGCAGUUCAAUGAUACUGCAUCUCUGAUAAAUGCCAGGUCUAACUCAACUCAAGCCUAAGGCAGCCCCAGACUGGAUCACUAACACUACAGGGACCAAACACUGGCCACAACAGGAUAUUUGGAAAAGGGACAUGCACAUGGGGAGAACACGAUGUGAGGAUGAAAGCAGAAAUAAGAACCUCUAUAAGUUACAGAUCUCAGCAACAUCUAAUUUUGCCUGCUAGAGCCUAUGGAAGAAGUCACAACAGGUCACAGGCACCCCCUUGGACUUUGGGUCUACAAGCUGCCAAAAAAGUAUAUAUCCUUUAUGUGACAAUUAUUGGUUUUGGUGAAAACUGAGAACAUGACUUUGGUUAUGUAAUAAUCUUCUGAUAAGAAAUUUGAACCAAAACACAUUAAUGUAUUUCCUUUUGUUCUCUAGUUAUAUUAGGGUAUUCACACUUUAAGCAAAGUUUAAAGUUUCUAUAAAAUACAUGCUCAAAUACAUAUUAACAAACCAAAGA
Molecule: long non-coding RNA, 596 nt
Organism: Neofelis nebulosa (Clouded leopard)
Lineage: Eukaryota; Metazoa; Chordata; Mammalia; Carnivora; Felidae
Exons: 3
Source: RefSeq, a predicted model, not a curated record